Molecule: ribosomal RNA, 492 nt
Filed under: uncultured bacterium
Lineage: Bacteria
Description: partial 16S ribosomal RNA
Rfam family: Bacterial small subunit ribosomal RNA
Source: RNAcentral
AGUGAACGCUGGCGGUAGGCCUAACACAUGCAAGUCGAACGGCAGCACAGUAAGAGCUUGCUCUUACGGGUGGCGAGUGGCGGACGGGUGAGGAAUACAUCGGAAUCUACUUUUUCGUGGGGGAUAACGUAGGGAAACUUACGCUAAUACCGCAUACGACCUACGGGUGAAAGCAGGGGAUCUUCUGACCUUGCGCGAUUGAAUGAGCCGCUGUCGGAUUAGCUAGUUGGCGGGGUAAAGGCCCACCAAGGCGACGAUCCGUAGCUGGUCUGAGAGGAUGAUCAGCCACACUGGAACUGAGACACGGUCCAGACUCCUACGGGAGGCAGCAGUGGGGAAUAUUGGACAAUGGGCGCAAGCCUGAUCCAGCCAUACCGCGUGGGUGAAGAAGGCCUUCGGGUUGUAAAGCCCUUUUGUUGGGAAAGAAAAGCAGCAGGUUAAUACCCCGCUGUUCUGACGGUACCCAAAGAAUAAGCACCGGCUAACUUCGUG